Molecule: ribosomal RNA, 512 nt
Filed under: uncultured bacterium
Lineage: Bacteria
Description: bacterial SSU rRNA
Rfam family: Bacterial small subunit ribosomal RNA
Source: RNAcentral
GAUUAUGGCUCAGGAUGAACGCUGGCGGCGUGCCUAACACAUGCAAGUCGAGCGGGGAAGCCGGAACAUGUAGAGAUAUAUGAGAAAGCAUCCUAGCGGCGGACGGGUGAGUAACACGUGAGGAACCUGCCUUACACAGGGGAAUAACACCGUGAAAACGGUGCUAAUACCGCAUAACACCGCACUAUGGCAUCAUAGAGCGGUACAAAAGGAAGAAAUCCGGUGUAAGAUGGCCUCGCGCCCGAUUAGUUAGUUGGUGGGGUAAUGGCCUACCAAGACUGCGAUCGGUAGCCGGACUGAGAGGUCGAACGGCCACAUUGGAACUGAGAGACGGUCCAGACUCCUACGGGAGGCAGCAGGUGGGGAAUAUUGGGCAAGUACGGGGGAAACCCUGACCCAGCAACGCCGCGUGAAGGAAGAAGGCCUUCGGGUUGUAAACUUCUUUGAUCAGGGAAGAAACAAAUGACGGUACCUGAAAAACAAGCCACGGCUAACUACGUGCCAGCCGCCGC